AGUCGUAACAAGGUUUCCGUAGGUGAACCUGCGGAAGGAUCAUUACCAAUCCAAAGAUUACAUCUUUUCCUGUGAACUUUUAAAAUUGUUCCAAUAUUUGGGUGGCUCUGAAAAAUAGAAAUAUUUUUUAUCCACCCAAAUAUUAUGAUUAACAACUCCAUUUUAAAAAUAUAUAAAUCAAUUUUAAAUUUGUUUUAAAGAAAUUUUAAAAUUCCUUUAAUACAAAAUUAAAUUUAAAAAAAAAAUUACAACUUUUAGCGGUGGAUCUCUUGGCUCAU
Molecule: unclassified non-coding RNA, 278 nt
Filed under: fungal sp.
Lineage: Eukaryota; Fungi
Description: partial internal transcribed spacer region
Rfam family: Eukaryotic small subunit ribosomal RNA (bases 1-45)
Source: RNAcentral